RNAcentral lists this ribosomal RNA (300 nucleotides) under Semibalanus cariosus. RNAcentral describes it as "partial 12S ribosomal RNA". It matches the Rfam family "Microsporidia small subunit ribosomal RNA", at positions 789 to 1201 of the family's 1311-position model. The record is from RNAcentral. Lineage: Eukaryota; Metazoa; Arthropoda; Thecostraca; Balanomorpha; Balanidae.
GGCGGCAAGAUAGCCAUUUAGAGGAACCUGCCCUAUAAACGAUGAACCACGAAAUACCCUACUUUUAUUUGAAAUUCAGUUUGUAUACCGCUGUUGUCAGUCAGUUUCUUUAGAAAACUUUCGCGCAUGAAAAAAUCACGGACUUCAAGUAAAGGUGCAGCUUAUAUAAAAGAUAGAGGUGGGUUACAUUUAUAAGACUAAAACGGAUAAAGCUUUUGAAAUGGCUUUUGAAGGUGGAUUUAAAUGUAAAGUUUUUUUAGACUUGAUGAGAGCUCUGUCUUGUGUACACACCGCCCGUCG